Long non-coding RNA from Tympanuchus pallidicinctus (lesser prairie-chicken), 388 nucleotides. RefSeq lists it as uncharacterized. NCBI's taxonomy places the organism in Eukaryota, Metazoa, Chordata, Aves, Galliformes, Phasianidae. The transcript is spliced from 2 exons. The record is from RefSeq and is a predicted model, not a curated record.
CUCACCGAUGUCAUCAACCUUGUUGGUGUUGUCCUGAGGCGGUGGGGGAGGCAGCAUGGAGAUUUUGGGAGCACGGACUUUAAGAGAAAGCAAAAGUAAGCUUUAGGGAAUGCUAACAGUAUUUCAUACCCAGAACAGUGCUGCUGCCUGACCAUCCCCACUCACCCUGCCUCCUGCUGAAGAAAUGAAUGGUGUGUGUGUGCAGACCAAUGGGAAUACUGGCUUUGUUUCUGCAUGCAGUGUGUGACUGAUGCUUGGUACCCUCUGCCUUCCUCCAAACAGAGGAGGAAGGUAAACAGAGAAGAAACAGUGUACUGAUGUGACCCAGGCAACCCCUGUUGCUACACAAAUGCUGAGUUUGUAUGGCAAUAAAAAUAAUUUUAACUCA